This 483-nucleotide ribosomal RNA is filed under the name uncultured bacterium. RNAcentral describes it as "partial 16S ribosomal RNA". It matches the Rfam family "Bacterial small subunit ribosomal RNA", at positions 29 to 507 of the family's 1533-position model. The record is from RNAcentral.
UUGAACGCUGGCGGCAUGCUUUACACCUGCAAGUCGAACGGCAGCGCGGGCUUCGGCCUGGCGGCGAGUGGCGAACGGGUGAGUAAUACAUCGGAACGUGCCCAGUAGUGGGGGAUAGCUCGGCGAAAGCCGGAUUAAUACCGCAUACGACCUGAGGGUGAAAGCGGGGGAUCUUCGGACCUCGCGCUAUUGGAGCGGCCGAUGGCAGAUUAGCUAGUUGGUGGGGUAAAGGCCUACCAAGGCGACGAUCUGUAGCUGGUCUGAGAGGACGACCAGCCACACUGGGACUGAGACACGGCCCAGACUCCUACGGGAGGCAGCAGUGGGGAAUUUUGGACAAUGGGCGAAAGCCUGAUCCAGCAAUGCCGCGUGUGUGAUGAAGGCCUUCGGGUUGUAAAGCACUUUCGGCGGGAACGAAAAGGACUGUGCCAAUACCACGGUUCGAUGACGGUACCCGCAGAAUAAGCACCGGCUAACUACGUG